This 630-nucleotide ribosomal RNA is filed under the name uncultured Kutzneria sp. Its description in RNAcentral is "bacterial SSU rRNA". It matches the Rfam family "Bacterial small subunit ribosomal RNA", at positions 28 to 674 of the family's 1533-position model. Lineage: Bacteria; Bacillati; Actinomycetota; Actinomycetes; Pseudonocardiales; Pseudonocardiaceae. The record is from RNAcentral.
GACGAACGCUGGCGGCGUGCCUAACACAUGCAAGUCGAGCGGUAAGGCCCUUCGGGGUACACGAGCGGCGAACGGGUGAGUAACACGUGGGCAACCUGCCCUGCACACUGGGAUAAGCCUGGGAAACUAGGUCUAAUACCGGAUACGACCUCGCGAGGUAUCUCGCAAGGUGGAAAGUUCCGGCGGUGCAGGAUGGGCCCGCGGCCUAUCAGCUUGUUGGUGGGGUAACGGCCUACCAAGGCGACGAUCCGUAGCUGGUCUGAGAGGAUGAUCAGCCACACUGGAACUGAGACACGGUCCAGACUCCUACGGGAGGCAGCAGUGGGGAAUAUUGGACAAUGGGCGCAAGCCUGAUCCAGCCAUGCCGCGUGAGUGAUGACGGCCUUCGGGUUGUAAACCUCUUUCAGCAGGGACGAAGCGCAAGUGACGGUACCUGCAGAAGAAGCGCCGGCUAACUACGUGCCAGCAGCCGCGGUAAUACGUAGGGUGCGAGCGUUGUCCGGAAUUAUUGGGCGUAAAGAGCUCGUAGGCGGUGUGUCGCGUCGAUCGUGAAAACUUUCAGCUUAACUGGGAGCUUGCGGUCGAUACGGGCAUCACUGGAGUUCGGCAGGGGAGACUGGAAUUCAAGGU